GUUUGGAUUAUGGCUCAGAAUGAACGCUGGCGGCAGGCCUAACACAUGCAAGUCGAACGGAUCAUUCGGGAUUAGUGGCAGACGGCUGAGUAACGCGUGGGAAGCUACCUUGUGGUAGGGGACAACAGUAGGAAACGAUUGUUAGUACCCUAUGAGCCCUAUGGGGGAAAGAUUGAUCGCCUUGAGAUGUGCCCGCGUUAGAUUAGCUAGUUGGUAAGGUAAUGGCUUACCAAGGCGACUAUCUAUAGCUGGUCUGAGAGGAUGAUCAGCCACACUGGGAGUGAGACACGGCCCAGACUCCUACGGGAGGCAGCAGUGGGGAAUAUUGGACAAUGGGGGCAACCCUGAUCCAGCCAUGCCGCGUGUGUGAUGACGCCCUUAGGGUUGUAAAGCACUUUCAGCAGUGAAGAUAAUGACAUUAACUGCAGAAGAAGCCCCGGCUAAUUUCGUGCCAGCAGCCGCGGUAAUACGAAGGGGCCAAGCGUUGUUGGGAAUCACUGGGCGUAAAGAGUACGUGGGCGGAAUGAUAAGUUAGGGGUGAAAUCCCAAGGUUCACCCUGGGAACUCCCUUUGAUACUGUCAGUCUUGAGAUCGAGAGAGGUGAGUGGAACUCCGAGUGUAGAGGUGAAAUUGGUAGAUAUUGGGAAGAACUCCAGUGGGGAAGGGGGCUCACUGGCUCGAUACGGACGUUGAGGUAGGAAAGCGUGGGGAGCAACCAGGAUUAGAUACCCUGGUAGUCCACGCCGUAAACGAGGAUUGUUAGUUGUCAGGUAGCUUGCUAUUUGGUGACGCAGCUAACGCAAUAAGCAUCCGCCUGGG
Molecule: ribosomal RNA, 819 nt
Filed under: Pseudovibrio sp. 8G04
Lineage: Bacteria; Pseudomonadati; Pseudomonadota; Alphaproteobacteria; Hyphomicrobiales; Stappiaceae
Description: bacterial SSU rRNA
Rfam family: Bacterial small subunit ribosomal RNA
Source: RNAcentral